GGAAGGGGGGGGGGGGUCAAAUCAUCAUGCCCCUUAUGACCUGGGCUACACACGUGCGACAAUGGAUGGUACAAAGGGCAGCGAAGCCGCGAGGUGUACCAAAUCCCAUAAAACCAUUCUCAGUUCGGAUUGCAGGCUGCAACUCGCCUGCAUGAAGCCGGAAUCGCUAGUAAUCGCGGAUCAGCAUGCCGCGGUGAAUACGUUCCCGGGCCUUGUACACACCGCCCGUCACACCACGAGAGUUGGCAACACCCGAAGUCGGAGAGGUAACCUUUUUGGACCCAGCCGCCGAAGGGGGGGCCAAUGAUGGGGGUGAAGUCGAUC
RNAcentral lists this ribosomal RNA (324 nucleotides) under Halobacillus faecis. RNAcentral describes it as "partial 16S ribosomal RNA". It matches the Rfam family "Bacterial small subunit ribosomal RNA", at positions 1168 to 1491 of the family's 1533-position model. The record is from RNAcentral. Lineage: Bacteria; Bacillati; Bacillota; Bacilli; Caryophanales; Bacillaceae.